CCCUUAGAUGUUCGGGGCCGCACGCGCGCUACACUGAUGAAAUCAACUGGUUUUAUCGUCCUGGUCCGGCAGGAUUGGGUAAUCCGUUGAACUUUCGUCGUGCUUGGGAUCGGAGCUUGUAAUUAUUCUCCGUGAACGAGGAAUUCCCAGUAAGCGCAAGUCAUCAACUUGCGUUGAUUACGUCCCUGCCCUUUGUACACACCGCCCGUCGCUACUGCCAACUGAGAUGGGUCCUGAAUUGUUAGGAACGCCCGUCAAGGGGCCUACCCGGCCCCUAGUGCGGUGACGAGAAUAACUGUAAAUGGCAUAUCUUGUAGGGAGUAAAAGUCGUAACA
RNAcentral lists this ribosomal RNA (335 nucleotides) under uncultured eukaryote. RNAcentral describes it as "partial 18S ribosomal RNA". It matches the Rfam family "Eukaryotic small subunit ribosomal RNA", at positions 1470 to 1796 of the family's 1831-position model. The record is from RNAcentral.